This 250-nucleotide ribosomal RNA is filed under the name uncultured bacterium. RNAcentral describes it as "partial 16S ribosomal RNA". It matches the Rfam family "Bacterial small subunit ribosomal RNA", at positions 524 to 773 of the family's 1533-position model. The record is from RNAcentral.
UACGUAGGGUGCAAGCGUUAUCCGGAUUCACUGGGUUUAAAGGGAGCGUAGGUGGGUUGGUAAGUCAGUGGUGAAAUCCCCGAGCUUAACUUGGGAACUGCCAUUGAUACUAUCAGUCUUGAAUACUGUGGAGGUUAGCGGAAUAUGUCAUGUAGCGGUGAAAUGCUUAGAUAUGACAUAGAACACCAAUUGCGAAGGCAGCUGGCUACACAAUUAUUGACACUGAGGCUCGAAAGCGUGGGGAUCAAAC